AGCGUUCCGAAAUUCUGUCGUUCUGUCGGCCAGGCGGCAAUCUAUGAAGAGUUAGUGUUCACGUAGUGCUUGCGCGCGUUCCUCGGAAACUAGUCUUUCGCCUCCGUUCGUUUUUAUUUCUCGUUACGUGAAAAGAAUCGAGUGUCAGGAUCGGUGAAAGAGUGUCGAAGCGGUGAUGAUUUCUCGCCAGUAAAUAAAAGAUCAUUGGGCCAUGCAGCCAGAUGAAGAGACGUGUGGAACUGCUCGAGGCAGAUUUGAGGAAGGUUGACCAGUGUUAUCUUACCAAUCAACCCGACGAACAGAAUCGAGGAAUCCCUGGUCACUCAGGAAUCUGAGAAAAUAAUUGAUACCUAUACGUUGAAACCGAAGAAGGUCCGAUAGACGAAUGAAUAAUACAUGUACAAAAAACAUUAAUCUUCAAAUGAAAAUAAUACUAUCGAGAAGAGUCUGUUGUUAGCUAUCAGUAGUGGAUGCGUUCAUAGAAACGUGCAGAAAUAAUACAUGAAGCGCUUUAAAAUUACGAGUCAAUAGUUGUUUCAUUCACUGGUAAUUUUUUGUUGUAUUCAACGUAUCGACGAAAUAAAUCAAAAGAGAAGAAAGAAAAAGGGGGCAAUUUUUACUCGUCGCAUUUGAGGAUUACCUAUAUUCAAUAGCGAUAUGUGUGUCCCGUUCCAAAAAUUUACGCCCGUUAACAAAGGUUGAGGGAUCCGAGAGCUCGCGUCGUUUCUAAUAAUUGGAUAAGCGUGCGGCAGGAAAAAAGCGAGUGAGAGAGAGAGAGAGAGAGAGGGAGGGAAAGAGAGAGUGCGAAAUCAGCGUAAAUUAAUCGAGCAGGCUGAUCUCCGGUUACGGAAAAAUCACGCUAACGAGUACGCACGGGCCGAUUUAGAGAAGGGAU
Long non-coding RNA from Ceratina calcarata, 895 nucleotides. RefSeq lists it as uncharacterized. The transcript is spliced from 3 exons. NCBI's taxonomy places the organism in Eukaryota, Metazoa, Arthropoda, Insecta, Hymenoptera, Apidae. The record is from RefSeq and is a predicted model, not a curated record.